Molecule: long non-coding RNA, 1017 nt
Filed under: Lathyrus oleraceus (garden pea)
Lineage: Eukaryota; Viridiplantae; Streptophyta; Magnoliopsida; Fabales; Fabaceae
Description: Pisum sativum (pea) long non-coding RNA (PSAT_LNC022389)
Source: RNAcentral
AAAUGUAUUUCAUGGUAUAUAUUACAAUAUGUUAUAUUUAUUUAUUUAAGGUAUCAUUUUAUAAUACAAUGUUUUUAUUACCAUUUAUGGUGUUUAGUAAGAAAACAUGGCAUACACAUAAAGUGAGUCUUUUUUUCCUAAUAAUUUUUUAAUACGCAAGAGUCUGAGCUUAGUUAGAGAAAAAAUGUUUAAUACACUCUCUGCGAUGUUAGCUACAACCCCCUCAAACUGGUUUACAGUAAUCUCCUGGGAUACAUGUGUGAUACUGAGAAACUUGAUCAACGCGUCUCUAUGAAUCUCGGAGCAUAACAGUAGUGACAGAAUAGAGAUCUUAAAAGGUGUCUGAUUAAGCCAGUCUACCACCUUGUAGUUACUUCUUUUAAUUAUACGGAGGAACCCCUCGACAUCAUCGGAAAUGGACUUUCCUUGAAGAAGGGCUUGCCCCUUCUCAGGGUUGACAACUUGUUUCCCUUUAUUCUUGAUUGCAGUUACAAGAUCAUCUUUCUCGAGAGGUGGUGCUGAUGCAAAGAUACACACUUCUGAUCAUCCCACCGGUUCCAGUGAUGUUAACAGCAGACUCUUGAACUUCAGCAGGUUUUUCUUCCUGUUUUUGCCCAUAAAGGUAUAUCGUAGAACCGUAGUUCUACGGAAUAGCAUUUGCACUCUCGUAUGGGAACGAGGUUGGUACUGUGAUCACCAGAGGAGUCACUGAAGCAUUUGCAACAAGUAUCUGUACAGGAUAGUAAGGGAUAUCCAAAGUAGACACAUCCUCGACAGCUGAUAUUUAUUCUACCAAGAAGGUACCCUGGUCUACCAGCAACUGGAUACCUUUCUUCAGCUCUCCACAAACUUGUGGAUUAUUCAGACAUUGUGCAUAAUCAUAAGUGCAACCAGGAAACAAAUUCUUCAGCAUCAAUUGUUCCUUCACCACAAGCAAAUGAGUCCUCAACAUAUCAACCUUCGAGAUUAGGUUGUGUUCAACAAACUCUUCAAUCAUAUUGACAGGAUGGCCAGCAU